CCUACGGGGGGCAGCAGUGGGGAAUAUUGCGCAAUGGGCGAAAGCCUGACGCAGCGACGCCGCGUGAGGGAUGAAGGUCUUCGGAUCGUAAACCUCUGUCAGCAGGGAAGAACGGUCACUGUGCUAAUCAGCAGUGAAUUGACGGUACCUGCAAAGGAAGCACCGGCUAACUCCGUGCCAGCAGCCGCGGUAAUACGGAGGGUGCGAGCGUUAAUCGGAAUUACUGGGCGUAAAGCGCUCGUAGGCGGUAUGUCAAGUCAAGGGUGAAAUCCCCGCGCUCAACGUGGGAACUGCCUUUGAAACUGGCAAACUGGAGUGUGUGAGAGGAGAGUGGAAUUCCAGGUGUAGGAGUGAAAUCCGUAGAUAUCUGGAGGAACAUCAGUGGCGAAGGCGACUAUCUGGAACAUAACUGACGCUGAGGAGCGAAAGCGUGGGUAGCAAACAGGAUUAGAUACCCUGGUAGUC
This 465-nucleotide ribosomal RNA is filed under the name uncultured bacterium. Its description in RNAcentral is "partial 16S ribosomal RNA". It matches the Rfam family "Bacterial small subunit ribosomal RNA", at positions 338 to 795 of the family's 1533-position model. The record is from RNAcentral.